AAGGCAGCAGGCACGCAAAUUACCCACUCCCGGCACGGGGAGGUAGUGACAAAAAAUAACGAUACGGGACUCAUCCGAGGCCCCGUAAUCGGAAUGAGUACACUUUAAAUCCUUUAACAAGGAUCCAAUGGAGGGCAAGUCUGGUGCCAGCAGCCGCGGUAAUUCCAGCUCCAUUAGCGUAUAUUAAAGUUGUUGCGGUUAAAAAGCUCGUAGUUGGUUCUGUGUCCCACGCUGUCGGUUCACCGCCUGUCGGUGCAACUGGCAUGCCGUGGGAUGUCCUGUCGGUGGCGGCCAUGACCCACGGCGGGUGUAGGGCAACCGAAGCUCGUCGCUGCGCGUCAGGUCGCCGAUUCAAUCCUGCCGCGGUGCUCUUCAUUGAGUGUCGAGGUAGGCCGACACGUUUACUUUGAACAAAUUAGAGUGCUUAAAGCAGGCUAACAAUGCCUGGAUAUUUUUUGCAUGGAAUAAUGGAAUAGGACCUCGGUUCUAUUUUGUUGGUUUCCGGAACCCGAGGUAAUGAUCAAUAUGGACAGGCGGGGGCAUUCGUAUUGCGACGUUAGAGGUGAAAUUCUUGGAUCGUCGCAAGACGGACUAGAGCGAAAGCAUUUGCCAAGUAUGUCUUAGUUGAUCAAGAACGAAAGUUAGAGGUUCGAAGGCGAUCAGAUACCGCCCUAGUUCUAACCAUAAACGAUGCCAGCCAGCGAUCCGCCGAUGUUCCUCCGAUGACUCGG
This 731-nucleotide ribosomal RNA is filed under the name Cheirochela tonkina. RNAcentral's name for it is "SSU rRNA". It matches the Rfam family "Eukaryotic small subunit ribosomal RNA", at positions 422 to 1079 of the family's 1831-position model. Lineage: Eukaryota; Metazoa; Arthropoda; Insecta; Hemiptera; Naucoridae. The record is from RNAcentral.